This 253-nucleotide ribosomal RNA is filed under the name uncultured bacterium. RNAcentral's name for it is "partial 16S ribosomal RNA". It matches the Rfam family "Bacterial small subunit ribosomal RNA", at positions 524 to 776 of the family's 1533-position model. The record is from RNAcentral.
UACGAAGGGGGCUAGCGUUGUUCGGAAUUACUGGGCGUAAAGGGUCUGUAGGUGGCCAACUAAGUCAGACGUGAAAUCCCUCAGCUUAACUGGGGAACUGCGUCCGAUACUGGAUGGCUUGAGUUCGGGAGAGGGAUGCGGAAUUCCAGGUGUAGCGGUGAAAUGCGUAGAUAUCUGGAGGAACACCGGUGGCGAAGGCGGCAUCCUGGACCGAUACUGACGCUGAGGAGCGAAAGCCAGGGGAGCAAACGGG